UUGAGUUAGUGGCGGACGGGUGAGUAACGCGUGGGUAACCUGCCGUAUACCGGGGGAUAACACCUGGAAACAGGUGCUAAUACCGCAUAAGCGCACGGGACCGCAUGGUCCAGUGUGAAAAACCGAGGUGGUAUGCGAUGGACCCGCGUCUGAUUAGCCAGUUGGCAGGGUAACGGCCUACCAAAGCGACGAUCAGUAGCCGGCCUGAGAGGGUGGACGGCCACAUUGGGACUGAGACACGGCCCAAACUCCUACGGAAGGCAGCAG
Molecule: ribosomal RNA, 267 nt
Filed under: uncultured bacterium
Lineage: Bacteria
Description: partial 16S ribosomal RNA
Rfam family: Bacterial small subunit ribosomal RNA
Source: RNAcentral